Molecule: long non-coding RNA, 494 nt
Filed under: Rattus norvegicus (Norway rat)
Lineage: Eukaryota; Metazoa; Chordata; Mammalia; Rodentia; Muridae
Description: long non-coding RNA NONRATT012801
Source: RNAcentral
CAAAGAACUCAUUCAGAGAAUUCCAUGGCUACUUGUCACCCUCAGCCCACUCUGCUGCAUCUCCAAGGGUUGGGAGAGGGAGGCUCUACUUUGCCUAACUUUUUCUUUUAUGUGUGUGGGUGUUUUGCCUGCAUUCACAUCUGCCUCAGGUGUGCACAGCUCCCCCUCUAAAGGGCAUGGGAAGAACAAACUAAUAACGUCUGCCCAGACCGUCGGCAAGACUUCACCUGAGGGCGAAAGCAUAAAAAUGAGUAGGUAUUUCACAAUCUAUCGAACAUGUAUCUAUACAAAUUGUGGCGAUAACAGAAACACAAACAUGAUACCAGACCCGAGUCUUGGCAGUGAUUAUGGCCAUGUGAUCUCUAUUGCCUAGGCCAAGGUUUCAGCAGAUAGGUCUAUCUCAGUGUAGCUCUGGUCCAGAACUUGCCAUGUAGACCAAGCUGGCCUUGAACUCAGAUCAGUAAGUGCUGCUAUUAAAUGCAUUUGCUACCUUG